This is a long non-coding RNA of Pongo pygmaeus (Bornean orangutan), 1642 nucleotides long. RefSeq lists it as uncharacterized. The transcript has 2 exons. The record is from RefSeq and is a predicted model, not a curated record. NCBI's taxonomy places the organism in Eukaryota, Metazoa, Chordata, Mammalia, Primates, Hominidae.
GGGUCCUCCAGUGCCCGCAGCUGGUCCGGCAGCCCUGGCCUUACCCGGGCGUCGGGGCUUCAGCGGGCAUUAGCAGCAGCUGAGAGGCCUGUGAGAGGUUCUGGGGCGCCACCGCAGUCAUUCUGUUCAGCGGGUUUAGGACUUUCAUUCAUAGGACUGUCCUUGAUUCCUAGCCAUCACUGGGAGGCUCUACCUUCAAGUGUUAUCCAGAAUCAGACCACCUCACCUCAUCUACUGUGGCCUCCCUGGGACGGGCCUGGCCUCCUUCAGUCUGUUCUCACCACAAAGCCACCAGAAGGAUCCUUUUAUUUUGAUUGAUUGAUUGAUUGAUAUGGGGUCUGACUCUGUCAGCAGGCUGGAGUGCAAUGGCACGAUGUCACCUCACUGCAAGCUCUGCUUCCUGGACUCGAGCAAUCCUCCCACCACUGCCUCCCGGGUACCUGGGACCACAGGUGCACACCACCAUGCCCAGUUAAUCUUUUUGUAUUUUUGGUAGAGAUGGGGUUUCACCAUUUUGCCCAGGAUGGUCUCAAACUCUUUUUAUUUUAUUUUAUUUUUUUUUUGAGACAGAGUUUUGCUCUUGCCCAGGCUGGAGUGCAAUGGCGCGAUCUCGGCUCACCGCAACCUCCACCUCCCAGGUUCAAGUGAUUCUCCUGCCUCAGCCUUCCCAAGUAGCUGGGAUUACAGGAAUGCACCACCAAGUCCGGCUAAUUUUGUAUUUUUAGUAGAGAUGGGGUUUCUCCAUGUGGGUCAGGCUGGUCUCAAACUCCCAAACUCAGGUGAUCCGCCUACCUCGGCCUCCUAAAGUGCUGGGAUUACAGGCGUGAGCCAACGCGCCCGGCCUCAAACUUUUUUUUUUUUUGAGAUGGAGUCUCGCUCUGCUGCCCAGGCUGGAGUGCAGUGGCACGAUUUUGGCUCACUGCAACCUCUGCCUCCCGGGUUCAUGCCAUUCUCCUGCCUCAGCCUCCCGAGUAGCUGGGACUACAGGCGCCCGCCACCACGCCUGGCUAAUUUUUGGUAUUUUUUUAGUAGAGUCAGGGUUUCACUGUGUUAGCCAGGAUGGUCUCGAUCUCCUGACCUCGUGAUCCACCCACCUGGGCCUCCCAAAGUGCUGGGAUUACAGGCGUGAGCCACCGCGCCCGGCCAUGGCCUCAAACUCUUAAGCUCAAGCAAUCUACCCACCUCAGCUUCCCACAGUGCUGGGAUUACAGGUGUGGGCCACCACGCCCAGCGCCUUUUAAAAGCGCAGUUGGAUCAUAGCAUUUAUCUGCUCAUAACAAUGGCUUUUGCUUCCCCGCUCACUCAAAAGAAAGUCCUUCUUCACUGCAGAACUGUCCCUCCUACCACAGGAUGUUUAGGGUUCCUGGCUGGAACCCCCAAAGGUCCUAAUGGUGCUGGUCAUGGGGGGGAUCCACACCAUUGUGACAACGAAAUAUGCCCACAUGAUACCCAAGGCUUCAUCCUGGCCCCACCCCUCCCACUGUAUCACUGUGCCGGGUUGGUUUCUUCAUCUAAAAAACGGCGAUGGGGAUAACAAACUUGAAAGAGUGUCAUGCAAAUGAGGUGUCCAGCAUCAGGAGGUGUCCAGCAUCAGGAAUACUAAUAAAGGGUCCCCAGUGAUACCAGCCGAGGCAUAAGCAAA